UAGUGUGCUUGCACAUUAUUUUAGUGGCGAACGGGUGAGUAAUGCCUAGGAAUCUGCCCAUUAGCGGGGGAUAACGUGUGGAAACGCACGCUAAUACCGCAUACGCCCUACGGGGGAAAGCAGGGGACUCUUUUAGAGCCUUGCACUAAUGGAUGAGCCUAGGUCGGAUUAGCUAGUUGGUGGGGUAAAGGCCUACCAAGGCGACGACCUGUAGCGGGUCUGAGAGGAUGAUCCGCCACACUGGAACUGAGACACGGUCCAGACUCCUACGGGAGGCAGCAGUGGGGAAUAUUGGACAAUGGGGGCAACCCUGAUCCAGCCAUGCCGCGUGUGUGAAGAAGGCCUUUUGGUUGUAAAGCACUUUAAGCGAGGAGGAGGCUACCUGUAUUAAUACUAUAGGCUAGUGGACGUUACUCGCAGAAUAAGCACCGGCUAACUCUGUGCCAGCAGCCGCGGUAAUACAGAGGGUGCGAGCGUUAAUCGGAAUUACUGGGCGUAAAGCGCGCGUAGGCGGUUUGUUAAGUCGGAUGUGAAAUCCCCGGGCUCAACCUGGGAAUUGCAUUCGAUACUGGCAAGCUAGAGUAUGGGAGAGGAAGGUAGAAUUCCAGGUGUAGCGGUGAAAUGCGUAGAGAUCUGGAGGAAUACCGAUGGCGAAGGCAGCCUUCUGGCCUAAUACUGACGCUGAGGUGCGAAAGCAUGGGGAGCAAACAGGAUUAGAUACCCUGGUAGUCCAUGCCGUAAACGAUGUCAACUAGCCGUUGGGGGAUUUGAUCCUUUAGUGACGCAGCUAACGCGAUAAGUUGACCGCCUGGGGAGUACGGUCGCAAGACUAAAACUCAAAUGAAUUGACGGGGGCCCGCACAAGCGGUGGAGCAUGUGGUUUAAUUCGAUGCAACGCGAAGAACCUUACCUGUCUUGACGUAGU
RNAcentral lists this ribosomal RNA (925 nucleotides) under uncultured bacterium. RNAcentral describes it as "bacterial SSU rRNA". It matches the Rfam family "Bacterial small subunit ribosomal RNA", at positions 72 to 990 of the family's 1533-position model. The record is from RNAcentral.